GAGAACUUAGUUAAUCAAUAAUAAUACCUUGUCAAGGUGCAGUAAUGGGCUAAAAUCUCAUAUUUCUUU
This 69-nucleotide transfer RNA is filed under the name Allobates aff. melanolaemusi AR-2020. RNAcentral's name for it is "tRNA-Asp". Lineage: Eukaryota; Metazoa; Chordata; Amphibia; Anura; Aromobatidae. The record is from RNAcentral.